RNAcentral lists this ribosomal RNA (445 nucleotides) under uncultured bacterium. RNAcentral describes it as "partial 16S ribosomal RNA". It matches the Rfam family "Bacterial small subunit ribosomal RNA", at positions 354 to 796 of the family's 1533-position model. The record is from RNAcentral.
GUGAGGAAUAUUGGUCAAUGGGCGGGAGCCUGAACCAGCCAAGUCGCGUGAAGGAAGAAGGAUCUAUGGUUCGUAAACUUCUUUUGCAGGGGAAUAAAGUGCAGGACGUGUCCUGUUUUGUAUGUACCCUGAGAAUAAGGAUCGGCUAACUCCGUGCCAGCAGCCGCGGUAAUACGGAGGAUCCGAGCGUUAUCCGGAUUUAUUGGGUUUAAAGGGUGCGUAGGUGGUUUGAUAAGUCAGCGGUGAAAGUUUGCAGCUUAACUGUAAAAAUGCCGUUGAAACUGGCGGACUUGAGUGUAAAUGAGGUAGGCGGAAUGCGUGGUGUAGCGGUGAAAUGCAUAGAUAUCACGCAGAACUCCGAUUGCGAAGGCAGCUUACUAAGCUACAACUGACACUGAAGCACGAAAGCGUGGGGAUCAAACAGGAUUAGAUACCCGGGUAGUCC